AACGAACGCUGGCGGCAUGCCUAACACAUGCAAGUCGAACGAGACCUUCGGGUCUAGUGGCGCACGGGUGCGUAACGCGUGGGAACCUGCCCUUAGGUUCGGAAUAACUCCCCGAAAGGGGUGCUAAUACCGGAUAAUGUCUUCGGACCAAAGAUUUAUCGCCUUUGGAUGGGCCCGCGUUGGAUUAGCUAGUUGGUAGGGUAAAAGCCUACCAAGGCGACGAUCCAUAGCUGGUCUGAGAGGAUGAUCCGCCACACUGGGACUGAGACACGGCCCUGCCUCCUACGGAAGAGAGCAGUAGAGAGUAUUGGACGAUGGGCGAAAGCCUGAUCCAGCAAUGCCGCGUAAGUGAUGAAGGCCUUAGGGUUGUAAAGCUCUUUUACCCGGGAUGAUAAUGACGGUACCGGGAGAAUAAGCGCCGGCUAACUACGUG
Molecule: ribosomal RNA, 433 nt
Filed under: uncultured bacterium
Lineage: Bacteria
Description: partial 16S ribosomal RNA
Rfam family: Bacterial small subunit ribosomal RNA
Source: RNAcentral